This 381-nucleotide RNase P RNA is filed under the name Candidatus Erwinia haradaeae. RNAcentral's name for it is "RNase P, M1 RNA component". It matches the Rfam family "Bacterial RNase P class A". From Rfam's summary of the family: Ribonuclease P (RNase P) is a ubiquitous endoribonuclease, found in archaea, bacteria and eukarya as well as chloroplasts and mitochondria. Its best characterised activity is the generation of mature 5'-ends of tRNAs by cleaving the 5'-leader elements of precursor-tRNAs. Lineage: Bacteria; Pseudomonadati; Pseudomonadota; Gammaproteobacteria; Enterobacterales; Erwiniaceae. The record is from RNAcentral.
GAAGCUGACUAAACAGUCGCUGCCUGACUAAUCUAUUUUUAAUCAGCAUGGAAAAUUCAGGGAGAGGAAAGUCCGGGCUCCAUAGGGUAUGGUACCAGGUAACACCUGGGGAGCGUAAGCUAACGACUAGUGCAACAGAAAAAAAACCGCCUAUGACCAAUUAAAACAGGUUAGGCAAGGGUGAAAUGGUGCGGUAAGAGCGCACCACACAGCUGGUAACAGCAAGUGGUAUGGUAAACUCUACCCGGAGAAAGGCCAAAUAGGAGCUCAUUAAAUGCGACCCGUAUAGAGCUCGGGUGGGCUGCUUGAGCCAGUAAGUGAUUACUGGCCUAGAUGAAUGACUGUUCACGACAGAACCCGGCUUAUCGGUCAGCUUCUUUU